UGAAAGAGAAGCAUCCACUUGCAGAGCCACAGCACCAUACGUCACCGCAGUUUCAGACCCGCAGUUGUAGACCCGCAGUUUUAGACCCGGAAGUGACGUUACCAUUUCUAGGCAAGCCGAAAACAACGCCUCCAUUUAUCGAACACAAGUCUUGGUUUUUAGCACGAGCGCAGCAUUUUCGAACACAAACAAAAUAUGACAGAAAACAGCACGUAACAAGACAAAACGAAUAUCUUCAGGCACAUGGAUACUAAUUAAAAACAAGAAUCUUCCACAGCAGUUGGUUGGGUGAGUGGAUUGUGGAGUAUUCAUGUUGAUGGUGAGAAAAUCAAAGAAACUUAUUUUUUAGGUUGGGAAUACUUUAGAACCACUAUAAAUAAAUUGCAGUAAGUAGAGUGUGCACUGUACUGUAUGCAAAUAGAUUAAAUAUUAAUUUGAAAUAAUUCUUCUGUGUGCUCCACAAUAUGCUCUGCACCUUGUCUUGAAUGCGCCAUUUGACUUCACAGCUGUAAGCUUUCACUUAUGUCUCUGAUUAUUUGUUAAUAUCUGUUACUGGUUUUAAUCUUCUUUGUUUUUUUCCCUCUGCAUGGCAGUGUGAUUGACCCUUGAUCAGGAGGUGCUGGUGCUUUAUUCUGUUGGAGAAUUUUGCUGUUGGAAGUUAUCUCUUUCUCUGUGGCUAACGUGUGAAUAUUUCGUACAGGACAAAGGCGUUCACUAAAGGAACCACUAAUAAAAAAGGACCUCCACACUGCAGUAAAAUGGUUGCGCCAACAUAGACGGUUGUUCAGAGGUGCCGUGUCUGAGCCCCAUUUUCUGGAGAUGGAGGAGGAGGACCAAAGCCGAGCACUCCAGGACAUCAUCGAUGCAGUCGAAACUGAAGAUUUAAUUUUGGCAAAAGAACCCUUUGUGUUUAUUUUUCAGUUUAGGGAUGAUAUGGAACUUUUCACUCAGGAAUGUCGGGAUAAAAUGAAACUUAAAGUAAACUGCAUAUUUAAUGAAUCAGUAUAAUUAUUGUCUGUUGCUACAUUGAUUGUUACUUGUAUUUUAUUGUGCAUUAAUACUCUAUUGAUUUCAGUUUAUAAUACUUUGAUUUUUCUGUUUUCCUUUGAUGGUGGAUAGUUUUUGAAAAUAAACAAUUUAACUGCAA
Molecule: long non-coding RNA, 1147 nt
Organism: Erpetoichthys calabaricus (reedfish)
Lineage: Eukaryota; Metazoa; Chordata; Cladistia; Polypteriformes; Polypteridae
Exons: 4
Source: RefSeq, a predicted model, not a curated record